RNAcentral lists this long non-coding RNA (34636 nucleotides) under Capsicum annuum. RNAcentral's name for it is "long non-coding RNA (CANN_LNC021418)". The stretch from base 18556 to 18754 matches the Rfam family "Bacterial large subunit ribosomal RNA", at positions 1799 to 2004 of the family's 2925-position model. The record is from RNAcentral. Lineage: Eukaryota; Viridiplantae; Streptophyta; Magnoliopsida; Solanales; Solanaceae.
CGAUACGGUGCGAGACAUCCUCGUCAAUCUCACCGUUACUCUGGAUCACGGACCCGAGGUACUUGAACUUAUCCCUUUUCUUUACCUCCUGCGCUUCUAGCCUCACCACUACCUCAUUCUCUCGCCUUACGUCAUUAAACUUACAUUCCACAUACUCUGUCUUGGUUCUGCUCACCCUGAACCCUUUAGACUCCAGAGUUUGCCUCCACAGCUCUAAUUUGUCGUUCACACCCCCUCGCGUCUCAUCUAUCAGGACUACAUCGUCUGCAAAAAGCAUACACCACGGCACCUCCCCUUGGAUACGCCGCGUUAACACAUCCAUUACUAGCGCAAACAAAAAGGGACUAAGAGUAGAUCCCUGAUGCAAUCCUGUCAGGACAGUGAAAUGCUCUGAGUCUCCUCCCGCCGUCCUCACCUGGGUUUUCGCUCCCUCAUACAUAUCCUUAAUUACUCUGCUAUAUGCCUGCGGUACUCCACUCACCUCCAAGCAUCUCCAAAGCACCUCCCUGGGGACUUUGUCGUACGCCUUUUCUAGGUCGAUGAACACCAUGUGCAAAUCCUUCUUCCUUUCCCUAUAUUGCUCCACCAACCGCCGUACCAGGUGAAUUGCCUCCGUCGUCGAGCGGCCGGGCAUAAAUCCGAACUGGUUUUCCGAGAUAGACACUAUCCGUCUCAGCCUCACCUCGACCACUCUCUCCCAGAUCUUCAUAGAGUGACUCAGUAACUUAAUCCCCCUAUAGUUAUUGCAACACUGAAUGUCCCCCUUAUUCUUAUAGAGGGGGAUCAUGGUACUCCACCUCCACGCCUCGGGCAUCUUUGCCGUCCUGAAAAUUUCAUUGAACAAUGCAGUCAACCACCUUACACCAGCCUCUCCAACGAACUUCCAAAACUCCACCGGUAUCUCAUCCGGCCCCGUCGCCCUACCCCUUCGCAUCCUGCGGACUGCCUGUCUAACCUCGUCUACCUUAAAACGUCUACAAUAGCUAAAAUCCCGACACUCCCCUGAGUGCUCCAGUUCCCCUAACACAAUAGCUCUGUCCCCCUCGUCAUUCAAGAGCCUAUGAAAGUACGACUGCCAUCUCUUCUUUAUGUGGCCGUCCUCCACCAACACUCUACCGUCCUCCCCCUUAAUGCACCUCACCUGAUCGAGGUCACGACCCUUCCUCUCCCUAGCCUUAGCGAGUCGGAACAACUUUUUCUCCCCUCCUUUCCCCUGUAACCCUGCAUACAAGCUCUCAAAAGCGGCCGUCUUAGCUGCCGUGACCGCUGACUUCGCCUCCUUCCUCGCUAGCUUGUACUCUUUCCUGUUUACCCGCUUCUCUUCUUCGUCCUUACUUUCCACCAACUUAGCAUACGCCUCUUUCUUGGUCUCCACUUUCUUCCCCACCUCUUCAUUCCACCACCAAUCCCCCCGAUGAUGUCCGGCCCGGCCCCUAGAAACACCCAACACCUCCCUUGCAUUCUCCCUGAUGCACGUUGCCGCCCUGUCCCACAUAUUAUCCACGUCCCCCCUACACUCCCACACCCCCUUGCCCGCCAACCUCUCCCCUAUCUCCCACGCAUUCACUGGCGUCAAGCCGCCCCACUUAAUUCUCGGUCUACACUCCUUACUCCUCCUCUUUCUAUUCUUCUUUAUACCCAAAUCCAUAACCAAGAGCCUAUGUUGGGUCGAAAGAUUCUCACUCGGGAUGACUUUACAGUCUUUACACAACGCCCUAUCCCCUUUCCUAAGCAACAAAAAGUCAAUCUGGGUCCUGGCUAUCGCGCUCCGAAAAGUGAUCAGGUGCUCGUCCUUCUUCGGGAAGCCCGAGUUCACCACCACCAGCCCAAACGCCCUCGCAAACUCCAAUAGGGUCGCACCCUCUUCAUUUCUCUCCCCAAAACCAAAACCACCAUGCACAUCCCCAAAGCCUCCCGGUAGCGCCCCGAUGUGCCCGUUGAAAUCCCCUGCUACAACAAUCUUCUCCGAACUGGGCACGCCUCUCACCACCUCCUCCAAAGCCUCCCAGAACCGCAUCUUCUCCUCCCCCUCCGAUCCCACUUGCGGCGCAUAGGCACUACACACGUUCAGGGUAAACCCCCGAAUGACCAACUUAAUAGUCAUCAACCUAUCGUUGAUCCUCUUCACCUCUACUACCUGACCUCUAAGCUCUUCAUCUACUAAGAUGCCAACUCCAUUCCUACGCCUCUCGCUCCCAGAGUACCACAGCUUGUAACCAUCCACCUCCCUAGCCCUAGACCCUACUCACUUGGUCUCUUGAACACACGCAAUAUUGAUCCUCCUCUUCCUAAAAAUCUUCACAAGCUCUAUGGACUUACCCUGAAGGGUUCCUAUAUUCCAAGACCCAACCCUCAGCCUACCAACACUAUCCACACGCCCUCCACUACCCCCCCCCGCGGCCAAACCUUGGCCUCCCUCNNNNNNNNNNNNNNNNNNNNNNNNNNNNNNNNNNNNNNNNNNNNNNNNNNNNNNNNNNNNNNNNNNNNNNNNNNNNNNNNNNNNNNNNNNNNNNNNNNNNNNNNNNNNNNNNNNNNNNNNNNNNNNNNNNNNNNNNNNNNNNNNNNNNNNNNNNNNNNNNNNNNNNNNNNNNNNNNNNNNNNNNNNNNNNNNNNNNNNNNNNNNNNNNNNNNNNNNNNNNNNNNNNNNNNNNNNNNNNNNNNNNNNNNNNNNNNNNNNNNNNNNNNNNNNNNNNNNNNNNNNNNNNNNNNNNNNNNNNNNNNNNNNNNNNNNNNNNNNNNNNNNNNNNNNNNNNNNNNNNNNNNNNNNNNNNNNNNNNNNNNNNNNNNNNNNNNNNNNNNNNNNNNNNNNNNNNNNNNNNNNNNNNNNNNNNNNNNNNNNNNNNNNNNNNNNNNNNNNNNNNNNNNNNNNNNNNNNNNNNNNNNNNNNNNNNNNNNNNNNNNNNNNNNNNNNNNNNNNNNNNNNNNNNNNNNNNNNNNNNNNNNNNNNNNNNNNNNNNNNNNNNNNNNNNNNNNNNNNNNNNNNNNNNNNNNNNNNNNNNNNNNNNNNNNNNNNNNNNNNNNNNNNNNNNNNNNNNNNNNNNNNNNNNNNNNNNNNNNNNNNNNNNNNNNNNNNNNNNNNNNNNNNNNNNNNNNNNNNNNNNNNNNNNNNNNNNNNNNNNNNNNNNNNNNNNNNNNNNNNNNNNNNNNNNNNNNNNNNNNNNNNNNNNNNNNNNNNNNNNNNNNNNNNNNNNNNNNNNNNCGACGCCAGGGACCGGAGGUCAGGGCCGGAGGUCGGGUCGGGUUGGCGCCGAAGGUCGGCGACAGCGACGGGGGCCUGGGACCGGGACGAGAGAGAGAGAUAGAGGGUAGGGAGAGAGAGAGAGAGCCGUUAGUGGAGAGAGAGAGGGUGGAUGAAGUACUGAAGCCCUAAAAAAGAAAACAUGCUUCACCGAGAAAUUUAAUAUUUUUAACAAAACAACAGCAACAAAUUAUACGAGCAUUGCCAAUUUCCAAGCAAAGGUUAGGCACUGUUUAAAAAGCAAUAGCCCAUACCCCGUUCCCAGCGUAUUUAAAAAAAGACGAGUUCAAAUAAUCAUCCAGAAAAGAAACAUGCUUCACAUCUCGCGGAGUCAUGGACAUUUGGAUUAUAAGAACAUGUAAUGGCCCAUUUUGUUAAAUCUUUUCCAGGUUUAAUAAAGUGGCCUACUUACAUAGCAUUAAAAUUCACUAUAUCCGCUCCUCAAAAUCAAAAACUUAAAGACAGCUUACUAUUUGUAUACCGAGACCACCAGCUUGUAUUUUCAGAAGUUUAUAACAGAAAAUAUUUUUACAAUAGCACAUUUUCUAAUUUCUAAAAAGUAGUUUUCUCAAACAAGACGGGCAAGUAUGUGCAAGAUGUUAUCUUAGCUCUGCACUGUAAACAAUACAAGCUGAAAACACACAGAUGCAAAUGAAACACACACCCAAGUGGCAUAUAUACCUUGUCAUCCUCGUAUACAAUGUCUGCUGGGAUUUCCUUCUUAAUGAUCUUGUCAAAUCUGACAAUCAAGAAUCAAUUCUUUAAACAAAGCCCCCCAAAAUAAUAAACAAUCUAAUUAAACAUCCAAAUUAACAGAAAAUUGAAACAUAUUGUCAAAUCUGACAAUCAAAAAACAAUUUUUAGAAAACAUCAACAUACCCCACGAAAUCCCACAAGUGGGGUCGAAAGAGGGUUAGAAUCUACACAGACCUUACCUCUACCUCGUGGAGGUAGAAAAGGUUGUUUCUAGAGAACUCUCAGCUCAAAUACAACAAAUCAAAGUAGGUAUGGAUAGGGAAAACAACAGUGAAGAAAAAAUACCAAUUACUAAAGAAACAACAACACAAUAGUGGAAUAACCGAAACACCAUAAACAACAAAAGAUGAUAGAAAUCAAAACCAAGAUACUACAAUCCAAAUAAACAGAAAAUGGAAACACACAGAUAAAACCAACAAUCACGAAUCAAUUUUUAGAUAACCCCCACAAGAAUAAGAAAAGCUAAGUAAAAAUCCAAAUAAACAGAAAAUGGUAACAUAUUGUCAAAUUCGACAAUCAAGAAUCAAUUUUUAAAACAACAACAACAAACCCAGUAUAUUCCCACAAAAGUGGAGUCUGGGGAGGAUAAAAUGUACGCAAUCCAUACCGCUACCUCCAAAGAAGUAGAGAGGUUGUUUCCGAUAGACCCCUGGCUCAAGAUAGAGAAUAGUAAACAGAAGCGUAAUGAAACAUGAAGCAUGAUGGAUGGCAUAACAUAAAAGGAAUAAGACAUAAUAAAAUAGAAAUCAGAGCAAUACGAAAAUAAGGUAGAUAAAUGCAAUAUGAGAUAAGAGGUAAGCCAUAGGACAUCUGGAAUACGACCUCCACCUAGCAGUAACAUACACACAUAGACCAGAGACACCCGCCACACCCAGACCCUCCUGACUAGGGGCUCCUACACACCCAGACCCUCCUGACUAGGGGCUCCUACCUAUGGACACAGUCCUAAGAUUACUAACCCGGCUAUACAUGAGCUCUUCUAACUACUUGCUACAACCUACGCACAAAACCUAGCCUUCUACCCUUAUCCGCGACCUCCACACCUUUCUAUCUAGGGUCACGUCCUCAGUAAGCUGAAGCUACUCCAUGUCAUGUCUAAUCACUUCCCUUCAGUACUUCUUCAGCCUACCUCUCCUCCUCUUAAAGUCAUCCAACGCAAGCUCUCACACCUACGAACUGGGGCAUCCGUGCCCCUCCUCAUCACAUGCCCAAACUAUCUCAACCUUCCUUCCCGCAUUUUGUCCUCCACCGAAGUCACUCCCACCUUCUCCCGGACAGUCUCAUUCCUAACUUUAUCCCCUCUAGUAAGUCCACACAUCCAACGCAACAUUCUCAUUUCCACCACCUUCACCCUUUGAAUGUGGGAAUUCUUGACUGGCCAACACUCUGCUCCAUAUAGCAUGGCUGGACGGACUGCCACUCUAUAGAAUUUGCCUUUAAGCUUAAGUAGCACCUUCUUAUCACACAACACUCCCGAGGCGAGCCUCCACUUCAUCCAACCAACUCCAAUACGAUUAGAUACAUCCUCAUCAAUCUCGCCAUUCUCCUGAAUCAUAAACCCAAGAAACUUAAAACUAUUCCUCUUACAAACAUCCUAGGAAUCCAACCUCACCACCAUAUCGACCUCCUGCCUCAAGUCACUAAAAUUGCACUCCAUAUACUCUGUCUUGGACCUACUCAACUUAAACCCCUUAGAUUCAAGGUGCCUCCAAACCUCCAAUUUUUCAUUCACACACCCCGCAUCUCAUCAAUCAGCACUACAUCAUCCGCAAACAACAUACACCACUGCAUCUCCCCUUGAAAACUUCGCGUCAACACGUCCAUCACCAACGCAAACAGAAACGAAUUAAGAGUCGAACCCGAAUGCAACUCUGUCUCGACCGCAAAAUGCUCUAAGUCCCCUCCUGCCGUUCUCACCCGAGUCUUCCCUCCAUCAUACAUGUCCUUAAUAGCUCUGAUGUAUGCCACCGGGACCUCUCUCGCCUCUAAGCAUCUCUAAAGCACCUCCCUAGGAACUUUGUCAUAACCCACAAUAAUAAACAUCUAAAUAAACACAAGACUAAAACAUAUUAUCAAAUAUAACACUCAAGAAUCAAUUUUUAGAACAACCCCACAAUAAUAAACAGCUAAUUAAACAUCCAAAAAAACAGAAAAUGGGAACAUAUUGUCAAAACUACAAAAACAACAACAAACCCAGUAUAUUCCCACAUCGUGGGGUCUGGGGAGGGUAGAAUGUACGCAGUCCAUACCACUACCUCUAAAGAAGUAGAGAGGCUGUUUCCGAUAAACCCCCGACUCAACACAAAGGACAGUAUACAAAAAAAAAAAUCAAAAGCAUAGGACAUGAUAAAAUAACAUAGGCACGACAUCCAUAAAAAUAUUGUACAUUUCCAAACAAAGGACACCAAAUCCCUCCUAACUACUAACUACGACUCACCCACACACCUUAGCCCUCUAUCCUAAUGUUUUUCCUCCAUACCUUCCUAUCUAGGAUCAUGUCCUCAGUCAGCUAUAACUGUUCCAUGUCACGUCUAAUCACUUUCCUCCAGUAUUUCUUCGGUCUACCCCUACCCCGCUUGAAACCAUCCAAGGUCAAUCUCUCACACCUACGAACCGGGACAUCCGUACCCCUCCUUAUCACAUGACCAAACCAUCUCAACCUCACUUCUCGCAUUUUAUCCUCCACCGACACCACACCCACCUUCUCCCGAAUAAUCUCAUUCCUAACCCUGUCAGCUCUUGUAAAUCCACACAUCCAACGCAACAUCCUCAUUUUCGCCACCUUCAACUUUUGAAUAUGAGAAUUCUUAACCGGCCAACACUCCGCUCUAUAUAACAUAGCCGGUCGGACUGCGAUUCUAUAGAAUUUGCCUUUCAACUUGGGGGGCACAUUCUUAUCGCAUAAAAUUCCCGAAGCGAGCCUCCAUUUCAUCCAACCUGCCCCAAUACGGUGGGAGACAUCCUCAUCUAUCUCUUCAUUCCCCAGAAUCGUGGACCCAGGAUACUUAAAACUAUCCCUCUUGCAAACCGCCAGAAAAUCCAACUUCACUACCACCUCCUCCUCUUGCCUCGAGUCAUUAAACUUGCACUCCAAGUACUCCGUCUUGGUCCUAUUCAACCAGAAACCUUUAGACUCCAAGGCUUGUCUCCAAACGUCCAGCUUAUCAUUAAUACCUUGUCGCGACUCAUCAAUCAAAACUACAUCAUCCGCAAAAAGCAUACACCAAGGCACCUCGCCUUGUAUACUCCGCGUCAACACAUCCAUCACCAAGGCGAAUAAAAACGUACUAAGAUUUGAUCCCUGGUGCAAUCCUAUCAAGACAGGGAAAUGCUCGGAAUCUCCUCCCACUGUCCUUACCCGAGUCUUCGCCCCCUCAUACAUGUCCUUAAUCACUCUGUUGUACGCCAUAGGAACCCCCCUCGCCUCCAAGCAUCUCCACAGAAUUUUCCUAGGGACCUUUUCAGACGCCUUUUCCAAGUCAAUAAACACCAUGUGCAGAUCCCUCUUCCUCUCUCUAUACUACUCUACCAAUCUUCGCACUAGGUGAAUUGCCUCAGUCGUGGAGCGACCAGGCAUAAAUCCAAAUUGAUUCUCCGAAAUAGACACAAUCUUCCUCAACCUCCGCUCCACCACCCUCUCCCAAAUCUUCAUCGUGUGACUCAACAACUUAAUACCCCGGUAGUUGUUGCAACUCUGAAUGUCACCCUUGUUCUUAUAUAAAGGAAUCAUCGUGCUCCAUCUCCAUGCCUCGGGCAUCUUUGCGGACUUGAAAAUGUUGUUAAACAAGUUAGUCAGCCACCUCAACCCUACCCCGCUAGAAAACUUCCAAAAAUCCACUGGGAUCUUAUCAGGCCCCGUCGCCCUAUCCCUUCGCAUCUUGCGAUUAGUCUCACUGACCUCCUCUACCUUAAAACACCGAAAAUAGACGAAAUCGCGACACUCCCCGGAGUGCUCCAACUCCCCUAACACAACACCUCUGUUCCUCUCCUCAUUCAAGAGCCUAUGAAAAUACGACUGCCAUCUUUCCUUAAUGAGGGCGUCUUCAACCAAUACUCUGUCAUCCUCCCCCUUAAUGCACUUCACCUGAUCCAGAUCCCGCCCCUUCCACUCCCUAACCUUGGCAAGUCUAAACAACCUUUUUUCCUCGCCUUUCUCCUCUAACCCCUUAUACAAACUCUUAAAAGUUGCUGUCUCAGCAGUCGUAACUGCUCUGACAAUGAAUAAUCAAAGCAGCAUCAACAACAUAUCUAUUUCCACAAAUUAGGGUCUGGGGAGGAUAGAGUAUGCGCAGACCUAACCCUACCUUGUGGAAGUAGAAAGGUUGUUUCCGGAGGAACCUCAGCUCAAAUACAGCAAAUCAAAGUAGGUAUGAAAUGGGGAAACGACAGUGAAGAAAACAUAGCAACUAAUUAGGACACAAUAACAACAACAAAAUAGUGCAAUAACCGAAACACCAUUUACAACAGAUGAUGAUAGAAAUCAAAAGCAAGUUACUAUAAGAAUAAGGCUAAUACUACGACAGACACCACCAAGCCUAAACCUGUUGAAAUGCAAGUACUAACCUUCUACCCUAAUCCGUAACCUCCAUACACUCCUAUCUAAGGUCAAUUAAACAUCCAAAUAAACAGAAAACUGUAACAUACUGUCAAAACUGACAAUCAAGAAUCAACUUUUAAAAUAACCCACAAAAAUAAACAUCCAAAAACAUAUUAUCAAAUGUGAUAAUCAAGAAUCAAUUUUUAAUAAAAAUCACAGUAAUAAACAUUCAAAGAAACAGAAAACAGUAACAUAUUGUCAAAACUGACAAUCAAGAAUCAACUUUUAACAUAACCCCACAAUAAUAAACAUCCAAAAACAUAUUAGUAUCAAAUAUGAUAAUCAAGACUCAAUCUUUAAGAAACCCCACAAUAAUAAACAAAGCUAAUGAAACAGAAAAUGGAAACAUAAAAGGGAAAAAAUAAUACAUGGUAGGAGCAUCAGAAGGAACAGCAAGAAGUGCAGCUUCUUUCUCAGAAGCCAUAGCAGUAAAAUGUGAUGAGAGUACUUGGAGUCUGCUCCUAUUGGGGUUUUCUGAACUCAUGUGGUAGGCUUCAUUUUGCUUUCUUGGUAUCUUAACUUUAUUAGUCAACAUAUUGGUGCUGUAAACUUAUCAUAAUUGUAGUUAGAUACACCUAAGUUUUCGCUUGUACAUGUAUGUGAUACUUCUAUUUUUGAUAACCGUCAUAUGCAGCAACACAUAUCCGGUAAUUAGAAUAGAUGAAAAAACAAAUCACCUAUUCUUUUUGUCUCUAUUAAAAAUUGAGUUUACCACCUAAUUGGAGCUGACUCCUAUAUUUUAACUUCUUUUUUAAUUUUUUAUCGGUAUAUUAAUUUUGUUAUUCAGUAUAACAGUACUAUAAGUUUCUCAUAAUUAUGAUUCGGUAUACCAAGUUCUUAAUUGUACAUAUGUUGUAUUACUAUCUGUCUGUUUCAAAUGAAAAAUGACAUUUUUCUUGAUAAAAGAAAGUGGAAUGAUGAGCAUUUCUCAUUUUCAAUCCUAAGAGUGUAAAUUUAAGUCAUCAAGAAGUAAAUACGAUAUUAACUAACACCUAGGAGGGAUGAAAAGGAUGUUUUCCUCUCUUUUAAUUUGCAAAUUUUAUAGUAGUACAAUGCAAUUGGUGCAAAAUAAUACUACAAAAUCAAAACCUUUCAACACACAUUGGUACAGGAUAUACAUCACAUAUUUCUAUAGAAUUUUAAUUUAAUAUGUGACUUAAAAUAACUUUAACUUGACUCGUCUCUAUAUAUAUCAAAAUAAUAAUAGGUAUCAACUUUGACUUACUAAUCAAUCAACCAUUAGGCAACACUUCAUCAAACAACCAACAAGGAUUGUAAUGAAGUUGUUUUAUUUAAGAAUGAUGAAUAUGAACUUUCAUUUUAUAUGGUUCAUUUAUUCAGCCAAUUUUGCCCCAUAAUGUUAUUUCUCCUUACAUAUAAAAACAACAUUGGCAUUAUGGAUGUUAGAAAGGAUUUUUUUUUUUCCCAUUAUAAUAUAUGAUGGUUACUGUUUGCACACAAAAUACACUUAGCAUUUCUGAGAGGAUAUAUGACAAAUUGUGAUUGCUGCAAAGCCAUUUUUGCUUAGGAGAAGCUCAUAUAGCUUCUAACCUAGAAGUAUUUACUGUAAAAUACUGGAAAAAUAAUAUAAAUAUAUACCUUAACUUGUCAUAUUUACACAAAUUUUCACCAUUAUAAAAAUUUUAACUAAUUAUGUGUCACGACCCAGACUAACGGACCGUACGGGCACCUACGCUAUUCUAAGUAGCUAGGAGAACCUUUAUUACCCAACUAAAAAUAUGCGGAAGACUUCUGUUUUUAAGGAAAUAUAAAGUAAAUUAAAUACUAUAAACUUUUUCGAAAACUUCUUACAAAUGUCCUUCACUGUACCAAGACUUGGCCAGACAUGUACAAAAGCUACCUAUUACAACAUAGACUGACAAUAAAAUAAACAAUACAAGGACUCGAACAUCUGCCAGGAAGAAAGUGCAGAAGUUAGUGUUGAAUAUCGUCAUCCAUCUAGUAACUGUAAACUAACCUGCAUUCAGUCUACGCCCCAAUAAGGAUUGCAGAAGAGUAGGGUCAGUACAACCACACGUACUGGUAGGCAUCAUCGACCGACCGUGUUAGUUCAUAUAAUCAUAAAAUAAAAUUAAGAAAAAUAAACCAUGACAUCUAGAAUGGAAUAUAAUUCAACCAAGGCUGUAAUAACAUUAUUACUUUACCUGUAUAAGUUACAUCAUCCAAUUACUCUUCCAACUCCAUCAGUAUUAUAUUCACUACUACCAUACUCUAGCCUCAUUAAUUCACACAAUCCAACACUGAUACAUCACUAUUCCUCUUUGUUCACUUUAUCUUUUUCAUUACUCAUAUUCACAGGAACAAACUCGUAGUCAUAGACAACCCACACUAAACUCUCGGGCUAACAACCAAACGCUCUCUUAUAAUAUUAAAGAAUGAUAACUAGCCAUUCUGAUAAGCUACGAUUAAAACACGUAUAAAUAAAGCAAGUCAACCAACAUAUAAGUAAGUAUAAAGUUUCACUUCUUCAAAUACAUAUCACACAAUCAAAUACUCAAUGAAUCAACAAUACAACAAUAAUAGAUCAAACAGUGCUCACAAACAAGCCACAUAACCAUCAAGAGCAAGCGAAAUCCCGUUUCAGCCCGGACAGUGCUCACUAAAACAAUCAUAACUUUUUACUUUGAAUUCGGAUUGAGGAACGAUUUAUUGCGUUGGAAAGAGGACUCAAAAAUAUUUGAUUUGGUAGAUAGUGGGAUCCUUAACUCCUUAUAUUGUAGGAGAUAUGGUCGUUUGAAGUUAGCCCUAAUAGAAACUCAUAUCGAAACCGUAUCGGAAAGAAAGUUAUAAACUUAACUAUGUGUUGGGGAUAUUGUACGACCUUAAUUCAUCCUAAAAGAACUUUAAAACCAAAGUAUUGAUAUUAGAACUCAUGAAUAAUUAAAAUUCUUCGAACUUGAGUCUAUCUAGACACAUCCGAAGGCUAAAAUCUUCACCGAAAAAUUCGAGGUGACAUCAUAACAAAUAAAAUAUUUUCUAUUUUGGACCCAAGUUAAUAUUGGGGAAUGAAUUUUCAUGAAUUUACUAUGGAUAAUUUAAUAACGACGAAAUGGGUCCUUACAUUAUGUAUCUUCGUUGGAUGUAUCGAAAACUAAUUAUGUAUCUCAACAAAUUCAAAAUCGAAAAAAAUGGAUCAGAAGAUAAUUAUGUAUCUUACAAAGAAAAAAAUGUAUCUUUGUUGGAUGUAUUAUGUAUCUCGACCUAUCCAAAAUCGAAAAAAAUAUAUCGGAAGCUAAUUAUGUAUCUUUACAAAAGAAAAAAUUGUAUCUUCGUUGAAUGUAUCAGGAAUAAAUUAUGUAUCUUGACAAACUAAAAAGUCAGAAUUUUCAAUAAUUAUGUAAAAUAUCAAAAUUUUCUACAAUUAAGCUCUAAACUGUCGGAAUUUAUAUUAUUUUUAUCCUAAAAUACUAGAUAUCCUUUAGAAUAAUCUUCAUAUGGAUUUUUACUUGCUUUACCAAUAUUUGGGCUCCAAUGUUAUGAUGAAUCUUGAAAUGGACUUUCUAAAUUGAUGAGGCCCAUGUGAAAAUAUUCUUGUUUUCUCUUGAUGAUCUAGUGGGCCAAAUCACACUUUAUUCCUUACAAGGCUUUAAGCAAAAUCAAGGAUAUAGUGAUGUGCCGUAAGAUCUUGUUCCUUUUUACUUGACGUUCUUUAUUUUCUUUGGUUUUCACCCAUAGAGCGGUAGCCUGCUUACGUAGUUCUUACGUUAAGGAUCUAAUCAGAGUCAAAUUUGAAUUUCAAAAGAAAAAAAAAAAUCCCCUUAUUAGUCAGACUACAAGUAUACAUUUUUUUUCUUUAGUUUCUUUAGUAAAGGUGGAUUUAGCCAAAACGUUUGAAUAGUUCGAUCGUCCUUGUUGAGAGUCGCUCUGUGAGACAUCUAAUAGUCUCUGACUUGAUUUUCAAAUCAUAAGUCUCAGCCCCUCCUCUGCUUGUCUCGCUCUAUAUACACCAUAUACAAAAAUUAUACUAUACUAUCAUAUCAUUCAAAAAAUAUUUAAAAUAUUCCUUUAAAUAAUGAAUUUGUAGCCUUGAAAAAAUAAAAUAAAUGACUUGUUGCAACAUCUAAAUGUGAUAUGAUGACUUAAAAAUUCUUUGUUCCACAUACCACGAGCUAUAAAAAUUACUACAUAAAUUCUAGCAUUAGUUUAUAUAAUGUAAAUUUCGAAAAAAACUAUCAGUAUCGUAUUAAAGUAAGAUAGGUUACUUAUUAUAACCAUUAAAUGUGACUUGAUAACGCAAAAAACUCUUUACACUAAUAGUAGUUUUAUGUCUUGAAAGGCAUCAAAUGCACUUAAUGUCCUUCAUAUUUUAAUUUGUAAAUAAUUAUAAGAGAUUAUAUCCUUUAUAUAAUAUAACAUAAUACGACAGAUCGAUUCCACACAAUAUGUACAUAUUUAUUAUGAUUCAACUUUAUCAAAUACUCACUUAUUUAAUUACUCUCAAGACAAGAAUCAUACACCUUUAAUAUUUUUCACAUCAUAAACCAAGAAAGAAUUAGGUAAACUGUCAAAGGUGGCAAAAAAUACCUCAUUUCAUCAUCCCUUUUUACGGAAAAAUAUUUUUUUUUUGUCAAAUACAUAAAUUUUCCACCGACAAAAACAGUCAUCAUUUAUAUAUAUUCUUUAUAUAUAAACUACCACAAAUAAAUUAAUCAUUUUGGCAAUACACUAAUUGCCAAAUAUUUAUUCUAUGAGUCCCUAUCAAGUAGUCUUAAUCUAAUAACAACCAUAUUGCGUAGGAAAAAUCAGAAUAAAGGCAGAUAUUUUUAUUCCAAAUCUAGGAGUUUGAAUCAAGAAUAAUAGUCCAAAUUUCAAAUAACAACCAUGAUAGUGACAAUACUUUGAUUAGCAAGAGCUUAAUUAAUCUCAUACAUAAUUAUUAAAUUUUAAAAAGUUAGUAGUAUAAUAUUUUUAGUGGAAUAAUUAACCGACACUAUUGAUAUAAGAGGUUAUCAUUAUGUUCUUUGUCAAAAAAAAUUAAUUAGCCGAAAGUAUUAGGUUUAUAGUUUCUCAUUACUAUUUUUUUUUAGGUGAAAUAAGCACAAAACUAUGUAUUUCAAAAGCCUAAAAUCAAAACAAAUGUAUUGAAAAUUAAUUAUAUAUCUUUACAAAUGAAAAAAUAUAUCUUCGUUGGAUAUGUUAAUUAGUAUCUCGACAGACUCAAAAUUGAAAAAAAAAAUAUCGAAAGCUAAUUAUGUAUCUUUACAAAGAAAAAAACGUAACUUUGUUGGAUGUAUCGGGAACUAACUAUGUAUCUCGACAGACCCAAAAUCGAAAUUUUCUUUAAUUAUGCAAAAUGUCGAGAUUUUCUAUAAUUAAACUCCAAACUAUGAAUAAUUAAGUAUUGUAAAAUAACAUCUUGAUUUUUAAAAUAAUGCAUAAAGUAUGUAUAAGUUAUGAUUCUUCUCAUGCCAAUGCAAUGAAAAAAAUAAAUUUUACAUGAUUUGAAGAUUUUGAGACUUGAAAAUAAUCCAAAAUGUCAGUAUAUUUUAAUAAUUUCUUUUUUAUUUGGUUUGGUUACAACAUAAGAAAGUACACCUUGGAAGAAUAUAAUUAGGUAAACUAAUUUGUGGAUAACUAUGCUGUCCAUUUUUAUGGGGUAUUUUAAGAAGUGGAAAUUUGCUAUUAUCAAUAACAUACAUGAACCUAAUUUUGGAUGGUUUUAGGGUUUAUCGAUUCUUUCUAGUACUUAUAUUUUUCAAUUUUUGUAAUACUAUUUCUUGGAAAUAUGAUUAGGAUCUAUUAGAACAAGAAAAGAAUCAAAACUGACAUCUUUUUUUUUUUUUUUUUUUUUUUUUUUUUUAAAAGGGGGAAAUUUAGAUUGUGACAAUAAUUAAUUAAAUAUUAAUUUCAAUAAUAACAACGACCUAUUUAGAGUAAUUUCAAGAGUGAGGUAGGUACUGUAAAGUGUACACAAAUUUGAGAACCUUACAUUUAUCUUGGGAUGUAGAAAAACAGUUUUCAAUAAUAAUUCGGCUCAAAAAAGUGAUCGAGGAGGAAGACAAAGUAUGUUGUUCACAUGUACACUAACUACAAUAAAAUAGUAGACUAAUUGAUGUACAAGAGCAACAGAUAAUAACAGAAAUGAAAAAUAAUUACUCGAGUAAUACUACUAAUACUAAUACUGGUAUAUAAGAAGACGCUAAGCAACACAUAACUAUAGACUAACUCUCUAUCCUAACAAUAGCGGGCCAAAAUUUUCAUUAAGGGGUUCAAAAGUAAAUAUAUAAACUACUCAAAGAGGGUUCAAUAUCUACAAUAUAUAUGUAAGAAGAAAUUUUAACUAUAUAUAAAUAGUAUAGUUUUCCACCGCAGAGGGUUCGGAUGAGCCCCCUGGCCUAAAGGUAGCUCCGCCCCUGUUAGUCCUAGUUUGCACUAUUUCAUAGCCUCUUAUAAUCUGAUGUCAUGUUCUCGGUAAAUUAAAGUUGUCUUAUGUCUUGCUUAAUUACUUCUCCCAUACUUCUUUGACCUAUUUCUACCUCCCUCCUAAAACCCCUCCAAAAAAUAUUAAUUAAAUAUUUCAAUAAAGAAUAUUUAUGAUCAAUUGGAUUCGAUUAAUUACUGUACUUUCUUGGACCCUAAUUUAAUUAAUUAUUCAAACACUAUAUUCUAACAUUUCAGAGUAUGAUUCCUAUAACCACAGCAACAAUACCAAGAACAACAGUAAAAUGCUGGGAUGAAACAGUUAGGAGAAUUUGUUGUGUAAGUUUUUUUAAGUUCUAACAUAGUACAUAGUAUUCUGUCAUUUUCUUUUAAUUUCUUUAUUAUACAUUACCACUUACAACUUUUUUAUUCUUAAUAAUAUGGAUUCCCAAAGCAACUAAACUUUGGUUUUGUGCCUUUUUCAAGGUUCCAACUUUUCUUUGGACACAUUUGUGCAUCUUUAAGAUGUAGUAAUUAAUCUCUUAUUAAAAAUUAACGCAAUAGUACUAAUUACUGCCUAAAACAUUAUUUAUUUUGAUAAUUUUAAACUUACUACAUGUUGUAAACUUAUCAUACAAUUAUUCAAAAAAUUGCAACAGAAGAGAAACAAAUACUAUCUAUUUCUUCAGAAAUGUCGACGAAUGUGUAUCGAAUCCUUUAAAAAUAUUUUUUUAAAAAAAUUUUGAUAUGAUAUAAAGAUAUUUUUGAAAAGUGAAAGCAUAUGUUGUGGUGUAUGUAUGUGAACCUGAAUUUCACUCCAUCCCCUAAAGUUGUUAAGAAUAAAGGCAUUUUUAGGUCUAAUAUUUUCUUUAUCAUUAUAUGGAUAAUAAAGUGUGGUAGGCCACAAAUUGAAAGAAAUACUUGCACCUACUUCAAAAUUUUCCUAUUCAUUAUAAGUUAUAACAUAUCUAGACACUAAUUAAAUACAACUUGACUUAUCUUUUAUCUUAACACUUGUUUAACGUCAAAGAGUUGAUUCAAUGUUCAAGUAGCUAGGAGUAUCUAGUAAACUCAUAUGAGCCAAGUUCAGUAUUCAUAGUAUUUAACCCUAGCUAAUUAUGCUUACAAUCACGCUAAAUAAAUAUUUUACAAUUAAUAUACAAUAUAACAUUAUAAAGUGUGCUUUUACUCAGACCAUAUACACUAAAAAAGACUAUAUAAUAAAGAGGCACAUAAUCCCAUCCCCAUCGAUGUGAGACUCAACACCUUUGAACGCUCCGAACUGAAUAUUCAAAUGGACAAUAUAUGUAACGUGGACCCAGCAUCCCACACAAAAAAAUUGAAAUAGUGUUGAUUCUGACAUUAGUUCUUAACUCGUUCAUAAAAGUUAGCUCAUGGUGAAGAUCCAAAGCGAUACAUAUAUAAGAGGCACAUAUAAUUAAUCCCAUCCCGAUCAAUGUGAAACUCAACAGUUUGAGCAAUAAGAAUGGAGUCGCCGUUCGUAGGAAAUGCUCGGGUAAAGCAAGAAUUUUUUGAUGCAAAUAUGAAAUUAGUCGAGUUUCAAUAUGAUAAAAAAAUCCUGUUUUUUUUUUUUUGGUGGUUGCAUUGGCUUAAUUAAGGUUUUCUUCUUUUUAAUUAGUAGAUGGAAUGUCCUACCAAAAACAUUACUAAGAGCGCAUGAUGUUGUAUUUUACAGUGACAUGUUUGUAUCUUUGUGGAUUAAAGGGAGAAAAAGUCUAACAUGUCAGUAUUAUUUCAUAAGAGAAUAUGCAUAUGUUAAAAAGGGUAAGUGAAUUAAGUCAGUGAUAUAUAUAUGUGUGUGUUCUUGAUGUCCCCUUAGAUCACUUUUCAACAAAGACUGCUUUUGGUGUCCUUUAUGUCACAAGAGGGACUUCUCAACAACUCCAUUCCAAGCAUCUUUUGUGGGAUAAAAUUAAAAGGGUUAGGAACAAAUCAAUUUCUUGGAGAAAUCUAUCAUAACAGAUCGGACUAUCUAUCAAUUAUCGAUUUGAAUAGAGUACGCUUAUUUUUUUCACAAAAUAUAGCAUUCGUUGUACUUACGAAGAAGGCCAAGUAGGUAAAUAUACUCUUUUAUUCACGCCUUAAAAUAGUAUGUUCAUCUCGUUUAUAGUUAAUCUUUUUCACCAAAAUAUAGCCUCCGUAAUAGUUAAGGAACACGCCAAGCGUAUAUAAGUGUUCGCUUCACUCCCUUAAAAUGUUGCCUGCGCGUUGGAUCGUCUCCCACUCUCAUGAGUUUAGGAUUUGUACAUUAUCAUGUAUUAUAUAUCGACCUAUAAUACUAUAUGUAACUCUUGAUCACAAGCUUAAUAUGAUAGCCAAGAAAUUGAGAGCAUAAAUCUUACCUUCACCAUACCCCAUUUGUUGAAUGACACUGAGAUUUGUUUUUGUUGGUGUUACUUCUAGCUUCUUCUUUUUUCCUUUUUUUCUUCUUUUGAGUAAAAGCAUAUCGUAUCCCCCCUGAACUAUUACCUAAUUUGCUACGUUACACUCCAACUUUACUGGAGUCCAAUUACCCUUAAAUUCAAUUUUAACGUAUUUUUGUCACCCUUUUAGCUAAUGUGAUACUUUUUAAGCUGACGUGGCACUAUUGGCGUGGAUUCCAUUUUUAUAUAAUAAAGGUUUCACGUCAUCACAAAUGGAUGACAAAAAUACACUAAAAUUGAGUUCAGAGGGUAAUAAGACCCCUGUAAAGUUGGAGUGUAUCGUAGCAACUUUAAUUUGAUCAUAAUUCGAGGAGGUACCAUAUGCUUAUUUUUUUUUUUUUUCAAGUAAAAGAAACAGGAAUUACGCACAUCAUGCAUGGGUAAUAAUUAUGGUGGGCAAUCAAUCAUUUUUCAAUUUCCUAAAAUUUAGUUUUAUGUCUUGACAAUAAAGAUUAAUUUGGUUCACUAGUGUAAUACUAGAUAUGAUUGAAAUUUCAAUAAAGAGAUUUUGUGAAAAUAAUUAUGGUGGGAACCAAGCAAACGUGGCUUACUGGUUAUAAAGGGUUAGGUAACUGAAGAAUAUAAUUAUUGUGUUUUUAAUAAUGACCUUAAAGAAAUAUAUGUUGAUAUAUAUGAGCUUAACUAGAUUGAAAUUUUAUAUAAUCGAUUCUAAACUUAUUUGAAAUUAAAACAUAAUUUCAUAAUUUUAAUCUCUACAUUAUUGACAAACUUCAAAUUUAGUAAUCUAGAUAUGCCUAAGCGUUAUGGUGUAGUUUGUAAGAAUCUUAUGGAUUCGAAUUUAGGUGAAGAAGAGUACAGAGGUUAUCCCAUUAGAAUUUAAGUUUGGUAUAUCGUUGGAGUAAUUUUUUUUUCACCAUCAUAUAAUUUUUACCUGCUGUAGUAGGUCAUUCAUUUCUCAGGUAAAAAUAUAAAAAUGGAUGACCUGCUACAACAGGUAAAAGUCACCUGAUGGUGUAAAAGAAAACUACAUCAACGGUGCACCAAACUUAAAUUGUAUCCAUUAUCCACGAAAUAUGCUAACGCAUAAUCUAGCUAAGUUUUCAAUUUUGAUAUGAGAUAAAGUUAUUUGUUUUUUCUUAUUUUCUAAUUGAAUUGUAAAUGAUUCUAUGCUUUUUUUAACUCUUUAAGACCGUCUAUGCGUUACUAACGAUAUGGACUGACACUUGUCGGUGUCGAAAGGUCAAGGAAGUUGGUGAUUUGAUCGCAUGCGAAUCUGCGAUCGAAGCUCCGAUGAACGGCGGCCAUAACUAUAACGGUCCUAAAGUAGCGAAAUUUAAUUUCUUGACGAAUAAGUUUCAACCCGUACGAAAGGUAUAACGAUCUGGACACUGUCUUGAAGAGAGACUCAGUGAAAUAGACAUAUCUUUCAGAUGAGGACUACCUGCGCCUGAACAGAAAAUAAGGUUAUUUGAUGUCCAAAAUAAAAAAGUUGAACCACAUUUCACUAGUAAUUAACUAGUUAAUUACAUUUAAUUUAGAGGACCCAUAUAUUGUUUUUCUGUUCAACAACUUAUGAAUGAUGACAUCAAUAAUGAGAAUUGCACCUAUAUAUGCCACUGCUAAGUUGAAAUGUCCUUAGGUUCACUUCCUCCUUUGUAACAUUUGCUUAAAUCUUCCCUCUAAAAAUAGUAAUUUGUGAACCUAAUUAACUCCUUUGUAACUUGCAUGUUAUGCUCUCCAUUUAUCUUUAAAACAUUGUUACUUGUUCAUAUGAGUACAAUAUAUUCAUACAAAAAUUAAGUUUUAUAUGUUGUGUACAAAAUAUUUCAUGCUAUAAGGUAAAUUUAAUCUGUUAUUACAGGGUAUUUAAUUUUUUUUUUUAAUUUUUAUGUAAAAAAUUGAGUCUGCAUUAAUAGGUCAAACUUAUCUAAUAGUGUAAAUAUUUUAUACACUAAUAAUGCACAAAACUUAAACUCAUUCUUAAAUACGUAAACAAUCCCAUCCAAUUGUAAGUACUUCUUGAAAAACAUCUUUUGAAGUAAUCAACUCAACAACAACAUUAUUAUUAUGUAAUUCAAUUAGUGAGUUUUGAAGAGGAUAUAGUGUAAACAGAUCUUAUCUCUAAUUGUUAGAAUAUAAAUAUUUUUUUACAAUAAAACUUUGACUUAAGAUAAUUUAGACAAGUUCAAUAAUUCAAGCAAUUUAAAAAAAAGAAUACAAAAAUAAAAAAUAAUAAUAACAACAACAACAUAAUAUCAAGGAAAUGAAGAGUAGUACAAUUAGGGGUGUUCAUGGUUUGGUUUUUAACCAAAUCGAACCGCUAUCCAAAUCAAAUCGAUUAAAAAAUCGAUAUUUGGUUAGAUUUGGUUUGGUUUGGUUUUGAAUUUUAAAAAACCAAUACUAAUUUGGUUUGGUUUGGUUUUACUCUAAAAUAGCCGAUAAAAUAACCAAACUGAACCGAUAUAUAUAUAUAUAUAUAUAUUUAUGUAUUAUUCAUAAAUACAAUAUAAAUAUUUGUUACACUUUAUAUUUGAAUCAUGAUUUAACUUUAGUCGUAACACAUUAAGUCAUUUCUUCAUCUAGUUAAUAGUACCUUAUGAGAUUAUAAGUGAAUUUCGCACUUUGAAUGACAAAUGAUACUAAUUGUGAAAAUAAUAUCUUGUUAUAUAUUGAAAUUUAUAGCUGACAUUUGACUAUAGACAAUCAUUAAUUUUAACUUUUUUUUAACUUUGUUGAGUAAGAAGUUUAUGUGUUCACCUUUUGAGGAGUUUAUCAUAUCAUUUUGUUAAAUGUAGUUUUAAAAUAUAUUUUUAGAAGUGUUCAUAUGGUGUUGUUCAUAACUUUCCAGAAGUAUAACACUCAGUUGACAUCUUAGUUUCACGAUUGAGAUACAACACUCGGUUAGCAUCUCAUAUGUUAGAUUGAAUUGAUUUUUUUUAAUUUUUAACUUUUAUCAUUAGUUAAAGUUAUAAAUCGAAAAAAUCAAACCAAAUCGAACUAAAUCGAGAAGAACCAAACCGAUAGUUAUUUUUUUGUUUGAUUUGAUUUAAUUUUAGAAAUUUAAAAACUGAUUAAAUUGGUUUGAUUAUAAUUUUAACUAAUGACCGACCCUUAAUACAGUCCAAAUAAAGUAAAAUUUUAAAAGUUUCAAUUUAUCUUCGAAAAAAAUCUUUUUUUUUUUAAUUUUUUUAUUUUCAAAAAGGUGAUGGUGGCAAAGGCCAAUAAAGUGAAAACUGACACAACAAUUUUGUCUAGACAUGGGCACACGUGAAAGGACAAGAUAGAGGGGCAGCAUGCACGUGUGCAUAACGGAAAACAUCGUCAUGAGCAAAAGUGACGACCGUUUCAUUUUCCUCUGUAACAACAAAACAAAAACCAUGUCCCACUUUCCCAUAAUAAACCAAAAACAUUAACUUACCCACCCACUAAAUUAACAAAUCCACCCACCCACUCUCACGUUUUUUCUCAUUAUUGUAAUCUCAAUAUGCUACUGUAAGUGACGAGGUCACGUGUUCAAACUUUGAAAAUAAUUUUUUAUAAAAAUACAAAAUAAAGCUGUAUAUAAUAUAUUUUUAUGGUAGAACUCUUUCAUGAAUUUUGUGCAUAACAAUAGUUUUAAUGUAUCAAAUUAUUUUAUUUUUUUGUAAUCUCAAUAUGCUUAAUAUAUUUUCAUAAAAUAAGGUUCAGAGAAAUAGAAUAUAGAUGUUUAACUAAUCGACUGUCUUUGACUGUAUAUGACUGUAAUUGCAUUACUACCACAACAAUCAUCAUCAUUAGGAACUAUUAUACAUUAUUAACUAUUAUCAUUGCAACGUCGCUUACGGCACUUUGGCACCACCAUACUACUACAUCGGUCAGUUGUCACUCACCAUUACCACUAACUACUAGCCACAUCGAUCACCUUAUUACUAUAUCAGUUUUAAUUUCCGUUCCAAAUUUAGGAAUUGUGUGUGUCUAAUAAAUUCGAACACAUAUAUUUACGUUCAAAGUUUUAAAGUUUCGUUUGAAAACAAAAGCACUUAUCUAUCUUUUUUAUGCAUGUACUGAGCGAUUUUCUAAAUCUUAUAUAACAACUUUCAUACAUUUUUAUAUAAUUAUAUUUAACUUGCAUCGAAUUAAUAGAUCAAAGCAUUCAAAAUUGGCCUCAAGUCCACCUGUGCGUUCACACACAUUAAAAUAACAAUAACAACAACAAUAAACCCAGUAUAUUCCCACAAAGUGAGGUUUGGGAAGGGUAAGAUAUACGCAGUCCAUACCACUACCCCGAAGAAGUAGAGAGGUUGUUUCCGAUAGACCCCCGGCUCAAGACAGUGGACCAUAGACCAAAAAAAAUUAAAAAAAUUAACCGACUGAGGACACAUGAUAAAAUAACAGAGCAAUAACAUUCACAAAAAUGAAGUACAUUAACAAAUCAAGGGCCCCCCUCCCCCAAACGUAGACCUAUCACCCAAGCUAUGCUAACCUCUCCUAUCUGCCGACUACGGCUCGACCACCUUACUUAGUAUUCACACACAUUAAAAUAUUUAUACAUAUUAUUAUAACUUCGUGUAAAUGAAGAGGUUGUUUUCAAAUAAUAAUAAUAAUAAUAGUAAGUUUUUUUAGGACAAAGAAUAUGUUACGAAAAUAGUACUUUCUCUGUUCCACAAUAAGUUAAUUGUUUGAUUUUGGCACAAAUAUUAAGAAAAAAAGCAAAGAUAUAAAUUUAUUAUGCAUGAUACAUCACUCCUAAUACAUAUUUAAUGAAGGGUAGAUUUGAAAAAAAGAUUUAAUAUUUAUCUUAAAUUAUGAACCACUCAUUUAUUUAUCCAACAAUUCAGUUAUCGUGAAACGGAGGGAUUAUAACAGAAUCACGUAAAAGGAUGAAAAAGAAACCAUUCUUUGCGCCAUUGGUUUGGUCCAAUCACACGUAAUUCAUCAUUGUCCUUUUUGCAAUAUUUCCUCCUUUUUACUAUUAUAGUUUUGCUACUUUUUUUUUUUUUAAAAAAAGAGAAAAUUCAUUCUAUAUAUUAAUUUCUGAAUGAUUUCAGAGAUAUAUUCUUUUGAACUUAAUUCAAAGAAUUAAAUAUUGCGCCUCCAUUUUUGACUUUGGAGUUCAAUUACAUAAGAUACACCGACAAGGGAUCUUGAUUAGCAUAUUUAUAUAGUACUACUAAUUUAUUUUUUUACCUAUUGAUUUCUUAAUCUAUACUUUUGUAGGUUCUUUCAAUUGUAAAACUUGCUAGGUUUAUAAUUAUAUAGUUGUUAUUUGUUAAAAAUUAUGGUAGUGUUUAUAAGUAAGACAAUAAUUUUCUAAUUUGGUUCUCGUAAAAGUCACUGCAUUUGUUUUUGUCUCGAACAUGCAAUUUUACAAUGAGGGGUGGUUUUGGUGAUAACAUAAGAAUAUUCAAUGUGUAUAAGAUGUAUAAUGUUUGACUGGUCACAAAGAAAAUAAUUGCUGUAUAACUAAUGGAAUAUUUGGUUGGCGAUAAUUAGAUUGUGCACAAUUUGUGAUUUUCACUCAUAAGAGAAAAACAACAUUUUCAUAGAUGGACUGCGUACAAUUAUUGUUCAAAAUAUAUUGAUUAUGUUAUUGUUGUUAUUCUCAUCUUUCAUCUUUACUUGACAUUAGUACACUUUUCUAUUUUUUGAUGUUUAACAUAUUUAUUUAAUUUCUAAAAUAAUAAAUAAUUUAUUUAUUUAUAAUCAUUUUACUCUUAACAUAAAAUACUAUUCAUUAACUAAUAUAUUUUUCAAAACAUUAAAUUUAUUAUUCCCUCUAUUUUAAAAUAAAUAAAUUAUUGAGAUAUAACACUUCUCUUAAGAAAAAUCUUUUAAAAUAUAAAUUUUAAGUUUACUUUUCGUUAUUAUUUUUUUUUAUAAUCAUGGUGUCCGGGUCAGUUUACGCGCACCUCGACUAAAUUUACGGUAUACGCACCAGUAACAGAUACCAGAUAACUCUAUCCACUAAGGUUAGAACAGAUGGAAAGAACCUGAGACCUCAUGAUACUCAUCUCAAUUUCAUCAAACCACUAGACCACACCCUUGAGUAUACUUUCCAUUAUUAUUUUUUUAAUUAUUCUCUUAGAAAAUGCGAAGUGCUUACAAAUUUCACGAAAUGAGAGGAUAAAAUUAAAAAAAAAUAAAAUUCAAACAAGCCCUUAAAGAAUGAACAAUUUAUUUAUUUUAAAUAUUAAUUAAAUAUUAGAAUAAAAAUAAAUAAAGAAAAGGACAAAGUAGAUUCUGUUUGCAUGAAAAUUCGAGAACAGUUACAGAAAUAAAGCACAAAGUCCAAUUGCAACAGUGUGUCUGUGUGACUGUGGAAUUCCCGCCUGUCCACCCACACGAGCGCUUCUGCAUCCCCCCUCCCCUGCCCCCCCCACAAAUACACACCACCGCACGAGUAAUAUUAUUUUACUCGUUCCGUUUUUAUUUGUCACUAUUUUAUUUAUUUAUAAUUGAUAAAAUUAUUAUUUAUAAGCGAUAAAGUUGUUGUAAUAUAGUCAGGAGAUCAUGAGGUCAAGUUUUGAAAAUAGUCUCUGAUAAAAAUAUAAUAUAAAACUACAUAUAACACACUCUUGUAGUGAAGUCUUUCUUCUAAUUCUACAUAUAGCGGGAGUUUUAAUACAUUCGACUGUCUUUUUUACUCCUUCCAUCUCAUUUUAUGUGUUGUCUAGGAUUCCACCUAAUAAGAAAAAAAAAAUGAACAGUAAAAUUUAAGAGAGACAAUUUUAUAAAUUUUAUAAAGUCAUUAUUUAUUUUUAAACUCCGUAUCCGAUCAAAUAACUAUACAUAAAAUAGGACGGAAAGAGUAUUAUUUUUCUAAUUAAAUAUUUAUUUUUACUUAUCAACAUACUAAGAAAAGAUUAAAAAAUUAUUUUAGAAUUAGUAUUAAUUGUCUAUAUCUAAAUAUCAAUUAAUAAAAAUAAUAAGAUAAAAUAACUAUAUUAAUAAUUAUUUUAUUAAUGAAUGUGUCAUACUCUCUCUAGUUCAAAAUAAAUAAAUUGUUGGGAUGUGACAUAUGCAUCCUUUGAGAAAAAUCUUUUAGGACAUAAAUUAUAAAUUAUUUUCUUCUAUUAUUUUUAUAAUUGUUCUUAAAUUAUUCUUCUAGAAAAUAUGAAAUACUUAAGAAUUUUAUUAAAUUAAAAUGUAAAAUUGGAAGAAAUUCAACCGAAAGUAAUAAUUAAUUAUUAUGUAGUAACAAAUUAGAAGAUAAGUUUUCAAUUACUGUUGUAUUAACUCUUCAAUGUCCUUUGGUCAAGAUAACGGUCCUCCCACUUUGUCCAUUUUAUAUUAGUUGUAAAUUUUUAAUUUUUAUGUCUUUUAAAAAAUAAUAAAUAUAAAAAUAUAAUUUAACUAAUUUACAAUAACAACAACAACAAUAAAUUCAGUGAAUUCCCACCAAGUGGGGUUUGGGGAGGAUAAAAUGUACGCAGUUCAUACCGCUAUUUUUGAAAAGGUAGAGAGGCUGUUUCCGAUAGACCCCGACUCAAGAUAUAAUUUAACUAAUUUACACCUUAAAUAAUAAAUUUUAUAAAUUUAUUUACACUUUAAGAAAAAAAGUAAUUAUAAAGACAAAAUGGAACAAAUUUAAGAAUAGUUUUCUCUUGGUUAAUUGAAAAACAAUUUGGGACAGUUUUUUUUUUAAUUAUUGUGAACAAGAGAGCACCAAAUUAACUCGAUUUACUAUGAUUAAGAAAUUUAUUAUAGUGAAGAUAACAUUAAUUAACCAUCAUUAAAUGGAAAAAGUGUUUAUAUAAAUGUCUUGUUAUUUAAUCAUUUAAUAUAAUUAUCUAAUGCUAGUAAAUUAACCGAUUUUGAAAUUUUUGAAAAUAAAAAAGUGACCAAAAAAAAAAAGAUUUUUUAUUCCUAGAAAAAUGAGAGAAUCGUGUAAGUUCACAACUUCACAUCACUUCUUUUAAAAUAUUAUAUUUCUUGUUUAUUUUUUUGUUGUUUUAUGCAAUCUUUUUAUUUCUUAUAUUAUAUAGUACAAUAUUAUUAUAUUAUAUGCUUUGUGAAAGAGGAAAAAGACGAUUCUGUUUUCAUUCUUCUUUCUCUUCAUCCUUUAAACGUUACAACUCUUUUUUUUUCUUUUUUCUUUUUUGUUCCCAUAUAUAUAUAUAUAACUAUCAUCACCACUCACAUUUAAAACUUCUUUCUAUAAACCAAAAAAAUAAUUCUUACCCAAUUUUCCUUUUCAAAAACUGAAAAAAAAAAAAAAACCCAUGUUGAAUCUUUAAUUUUGGUUCUAUAAAUCAACUUUUUUUCUUAUUAUUCUUUUGGUGUUCAUCAAGAAAUGAACUUUUUAGUCCCUUGUGUUGAACAAAGUCCUUGGAGUUUUAAUCAUGAAGAAAAUUUACGGAAGUUGAAAGAUGAAAUAGAGGAAGAAAAUUUAGUGGAUAUGAAGAAAAAUAAUAAUAAUAAUGGAGGAACAAAGUUAUGUGUUAGAGGACAUUGGAGACCACAUGAAGAUUCAAAACUUAGAGAACUUGUUGCUCAAUAUGGUCCACAAAAUUGGAAUCUCAUUGCUGAAAAACUUGAUGGAAGAUCAGGUAAUAUUUCAUACUUUUUUUUAAGGUAUUUUUGAGGAUAUAUAUAUAGAUUAAAUGAAAUGUGUUCAUAUGGUAAAAAAAAAAAAAGUAAUUAUUUGCCAAAAUAAAGUUAUUUUUUCAUACAUAAUAUUUUUUACAUAGUGGCGGAUCUAGCAAUGAGUCAUGAAAUUGCUAUCUUUUUAGUUAUCGUCCCCUACUUGCUCAUUCACAAUUACUAUUACAAGAAAGUUGAGUUUUAUUCAUGUCUAGUCAGUGAAACAUUGUUCAUCGUGAAAAAGACCAAUCCCAACUUGUCUACAAAAUUGGACUAGUGUUCAGUUUUGGUUGGUUCCAUCUCUUUGUUAAAAAAAAAGAGUGAAAAAUCAUAUCCUUUCUCAACAAGUUGCUCGUCAAGAAAGUCAUUGACCUUUCACCUCGAAAAAUAUCCACAAUGUUUAGGCGCUUUUUAACUCAGAACUUGUAACGUCUAAAUUCUGAAUCCUGCGACUAUUGAACUCACCUUUUUCUCUUUUUGACUAAGAACGACCCAUAAUGUCUAAAUUCUGAGUCGUGCAACUAUUGAACUCGUGACCUUUUGUUUGACUCAAAACUCGUAACGUCUAAAUUUUUUGACUUUUUUUUUUUUUCAGGAAAAAGUUGUAGAUUGAGAUGGUUUAAUCAGCUAGAUCCAAGGAUCAACAGAAUGGCAUUUUCAGAGGAAGAAGAAGAAAGACUAUUAACAGCACACAAAAUGUAUGGCAACAAAUGGUCAAUGAUAGCUAGGCUAUUCCCAGGGAGGACAGACAAUGCAGUCAAGAAUCAUUGGCAUGUCAUAAUGGCAAGAAAACAUAGAGAACAAAACAGUGUGUAUAGAAGAAGAAAGAGUACUUCAUCAAAUUUGCAACAAAUUAUUGCUCCUAAUAAUAAUAAUAAUGAUAGUAUCAUCCAAAUUAAGAGCAAUAAUAUGCAAAGUGAUUUAACAAUUUCUAGCAACAAUUGCAACAACAACAACAUUAUUGUUGAUGAUCAUCAGUCAGCUUCAACUUGCACUGAUCUUUCCCUUACUCCCUCUUCUUCUAAACCCAUGUUUCCUCCUUUUCUCAUGACAAGAUUUACACAUCAUCAUCAUGUGGAGCAUCAAGGAUUUCUUGAUUCUAACAAAGGUAUAAUAUUUUUCUCCCUUCUUUUUCAUUUAUCUAAAAUCAUUUUAAAUUAUAUAUACAAAUUGUAUAAAAAAGAAUUUCCAGAGUCGAGAGUCUACUAGAAACAACCUCUCUACUUCUGAGGUAGGGGUAAGGUUACUUAAAUUCUACCUUUCAGACCCCACGCGCUUUGUGGGAUUAUACUGGGUAACCUGUUACUUAUGCUGUUCGAACUCUUUAUGAUGUAUGUUGUUGGGUACGUAUUAGAUCCUUCAAAAGUAUGCAUUUUUGAAGGAUUUGACAUGAAUGCUUCGAACUCUUGAAGAUGUAUGUUGUGGGGUACGUAUUAGGAUCUUUCAAAAAUACAUAUUUUUGAUGGAUUUGACACAAAUGCAACAACACUUUCGUAUGCAUUUGACAUGAAUCCAACAAUAUUUUUGAAAAGUCCAAGUAACAUUGCUUGUAACAACAACAUGUUAAUUAUCAUUUCUAGUAAAUUACCAUCAAUAUAUGUAAAUCAUAAUUAAUUUUUUGAUUGUAAUAUAGGCAUGUUGUCAAGAGAUGAACAAGAGGUGAAAAUGGACCAAAAAUUCUUGUACGGAAAGGAGCCUAUUGAAAGUUACCAUCAUCAUCAUAAUCAUCAACAUUAUGGAUGUGGUAAUGUGUCAGAUACAAAUUCAGAAAUUUCUGCAUCAGAAUCAGUAGCCAACAACAUGACCAAUGUCAAGAUUUAUGGUCAUCAAAAUGAAGAAGAACAAGAUAUAAAAACUAUUCCCUUCAUUGAUUUUCUUGGAGUUGGAGCCACUUGAAAAACAGUGGGUUCUUACGGGUGCGGCCUUUUUGCUAAGGGAGUAGGAUAAAUUAGUUUGUAACUUGGUGAUUACUGCUUAUAAUUGCCUCUAAUUAUCUAUUAGAGUUAUUUUCUAUGAAUGGAAAUAAUAUAGAGAAAAAUGAAACAAAAAGGCUAUGAAGCAUAAGUGAUUAUAUAAGUUUUGAUAAGCAAACUUAAUUAAUCAAGUAUUGGCGAGAAUUAGCAACACAAGUUGAUUCAAACGCCACCAUUAUAUAUAUGCUAUUUAAUUAAAGACACAAAUUUCGAUGAAAAUAAAAUUGGCUAGUAAAAAAUGUUUUCGAUAAACUUUUUGUAUUUUUGGUGAAGCUAGAAUGUGAAUUUCAAACUGAUUUAGACACCACCAUUAUAAAAUAAUUUUUUUCAAAAGAAAAAAAAGAAGAAGCUAGGAGGUCCAUGUGAUCUUCGUUCUCGUUAUGAAAUUCUGAUUAAUUUGAAUUUCUAUUGCAUAAAACACCUUUAAAAUAUUAAGAACUUUUAAGUCUUGUAAUUAAAAGAUAAAGGAAUUCUAUCCAUUGAUUUCUCAAAUGAUUCCUUAACUAAUAGUUAUUAUUAUCUCAAAAAACUAUUUUCUUGGGAAUUUUUUGUUAAAAAUAAUAUUUUUUUUCAAAUAAAAAAACCCAGGAGAUUCAUGUGAUCUUAACAAGAUUCUGAUUAAUUUGAAUUCUUAUUGCACAAAACUCGUUUAAAAUAUUAAAAUUUUUAUGCCUUAUAAUUAAAAGAUAAGGAAUUCUAUCCAUCAUUUCAGAUGGUAGAUUUUUCAAAUGAUCUCUUAACUAAUAGUUAUUAUUAUUUCAACAAACUAUUUUCUUCUAAUUUUUUUUUUAAAUAAUAAUUAUUAAUUAAAUAAUGAUAUGAGAAAUUUAACUUCUUAGCAGGGUGGGUGUUCUAUCAUUUGUCAUUAUGAUAAGGAAAUAGUAUAUGGUUGCCAAAAUAAUUCAAAGAGAAGUCUACUAAUUGUAGUUUUUGGCCUAUCAGGCAAAACAAAAGGAAAAGGUCUAUUAUUUGCCUAUCUUUUAUGACUUUUUUGUUGGUGUUUGGUAUACUUUAGUUGACUGCCUAUGAUAAUGAUUUGUUGAAAAUAACUUUUUUUUUCUUCAUGUUUUCUUUUACUAAUUACACUAAUUACUACUUACUAGUACUUUUUACACGUGUGCUUCAUGAUGACAUCUUAAUGGCAUGAUUUAAAUUUGCAUGAAAUAAUUACUACUUUAGUUUGCUAUAGUGAUUGGAUUAAGUGAACCUAAUUAAUCACUUGUAAGAAAAAAUGAAAAUGGAACACGUACUCAUGAAAUUGACAACAUGAGCAAGUUCUAUUGUGAAUUUGGCAUAACUUGAUUAGUUCUUUACUCCUUGACAUAUAAUUGACAUCAUGAGCAAGUUUAUAACGUUUUUAUCAUUCAUACAUAGUGUUUUGAUCUAAUAUUUUAAUUCUUUCGUAUUUUUGUAAUAACAUAUUCUUUCAUGGAACAAAGGUCUAAAAUACAAAAGAAACAAGCGUUUUCACAACUAUACCACCUCUCUUUCGUGACCAUAUUUCUUUCCGGCUAAAGAAUGGACACAAUCAGUUUGCUAGCGAUACAUAUAGUAUGGCAAUUCACCAAAAGGACAUUUUUUAUGGUCAAAAUUUUCAAAAGGGAUACUUGAUUUGCAAAGAAACUAAAGGAGACAAAAUAUUGUUGGCUGAGUGAUUUACAAGUUGCCUGAUAGCCGAUGAUUUGCAAGUCGUCUGGUGUCCAGUGACUUGCAUGCCGUGAUUUGUGUUUGUGUGUUGGUUUCUUUGUUGCAACACGUGAAGGUCUAAAAUGCAUAAAGUUAACUAAUGUCAUGCCUAUAUAAAUCCUCAAUCUCUAUUUCAAGAGUAGAAACAUCUCUUUUCUCAAGUGCAGAAUCAUUGUAACCAAAGAAUAUUUUUUUCUAGACAUAUUCGAUCAAAAUCGUUGAAUCCCAUGUGACUUGCAAAUCGCUCGGACAAUAAUGUUUUAUCCCUUUGAUUUCUUUCCAAAUCAAGUGUCCUAUUUGAAAUUUUUGAUUAAAAAUAAAAUCUUUUAACUCCGGACUCUAAUAUAGACAACAUAUCUAACACAAGUAUCAGUUGUUGAUUUUACUCAAAUUUAUUGUGAUAUCAUACAAAAAUAAUUUUAUCGUUUGCUUUGCGUUCACAAGAAAUAUAUAUAUAUAUAGGGGUACCAAGUGUCAUACACCUCCCUUAGGCUGUACGAAGACGCACGUGCAAGAAAUCCAUAUAUUGAAACCAUAUGGCAUUGAUAAUUAUAAGUUGAAAAAAAGAUUUGAGAGAAUAUUUUCUCCACUUAUUCACUUCCUUAUCUGCAGAAAUACUGCAAGCAAUGUUGUCCUUAUCAUAGUCUUCAUUUGGCAGGAAGGAUAAGAAAUUAUAACAUUGAAAUAAAAAUAUAAAAUUAUUUUAUUCUGCAUUUGGUUAUGGAUAUUAGUUAGUUCUAAAAUUGAUGGAAUAACUAGUCCUAAAAAGUAUGUUUAAGUGUCAUUUUUUUGCAGUUAAUCUUAACUAUUCAGAUUGUGUAGCUGGAAUUGAAAGAAAUUGACAGCUCUGAAGGCUGGGAUGGUUAAGUACCUGAAUACUCUUAGCUAUGUAAACACGUUUGAUUCAUAAGCUUGGAAAAAUAAUAUUUGGUUGUUUGAAAGUGAGAAACACAAGUAUUGAACGUUUACGAAAGUAGUAGUAUUUGACAUUUUCAUGCCACUUUUAUUUUUUUCGUUAAUCGUGAUGUCCAGGUGAGCUUUUGCACACCUCGACUAAAUUCACGGAAUAUUUGUUUCCUCUCACCAGCAACGAACACCAAUGAACUUUUGAGUUCCAAUUGAAGCUCUCCAUAAUGCUUAGUUAUUUUUCAAAGAUGGGAAUGAAAAGUGACCAAUGGGCCGAAAGGAGAAAUAAAGAUGGCCUAUAUUAAAUAGCCACGUAUCAACGCAUAAGUCUGGCCGAAAAAGAAAUAAACCAAUCAAAUAGUCCCGUUCUCUCAAGCUCUUAGUAGGGGUACAAAAUGCAAUCAUAACGGAUAAGUCGAGACCUAACAAAAGAGGUAAACCUGAAGCCUUGCGAAAGACUAGGUCGGACAAUCCUUGUUUACUAAGAAACUUAAGGGUGGAUUCUAGUAGGGGGCGGGGGGUGUCAUUUCUAAGUCCUAACUAGAGCCUAUAGCAGUACGAAGUCGCUUAUGCCGAAGGUCAAUUGAACAUGUUCGGGUGCAUACAAAUGACAGGUUUGACGGACGAAUUCAUUGCCAUGUAGAUAAAUACAAUAGAUGGAAACCUAAGCAAGCAGCAAAGCACAACCCCUCGCAAGUAGCUGCAUCGGGCUUUCGCCCAUUUAAUCUAUAUACCAAAAGUGAAUUCAUUUGCAUACGACGUUCUUACGGCACGAGUGAGGCAUGAAAAUGCACGACAGAAGGAAAACUGUCACACACAGGAAAAUCCUGUCAAAAUUGGUGUGCAAUUUAACAGUCUGCAUUUAAAGAAAAGUACCAUCAACAACAUAUAGCACAGGCAAUAAAAGGAAUAUAUCUAAACCGAAGAAACAGCGAUGAAGUAUAGAAGAAAGAUAAAGCCUAAACAAAUCUGCUCUCAAUGACAAAUGUAUGUUGUAGUGAGCUAAACCGUAUCUUAUCAUAUUCAAUCCAGCUGUGAAUUACUCGACCAAAUGUGUACAUAUCAGCAUUUUAGGUGGGAUACGCGACAUUGGUGUUGCAAGAAGAAACUCUAAGACACCACAUGUAUCUCUGGUUUUGAUCUUUCUUGGAGCAUUUUUACGCAUAUUGGCUAAUUCCAGUCGAUUCUCAAUGUGUGAACAGUGUGGGACGAUGCACGCAUCAGAAUGCCCAUUUCAUCCACUCUCACACAUAACCCCCAGCCACUGUCAUCUGUUGCAGGAGAAGAGUGUUUCAUAGAGGAUUACUAAAAAGAAACAGAGGCAGUAAAGCCUGAAAUGAUAACCGAUGAGCAUGUUGUUUUAACUUUGAAAGCUUAAAGUAGCACAAAGCACAAACUGGCGACUGAAAUAUGCUGCCACUUUUUUUAAAAAAAAGACAACUAUGUCAUGGACAUAAAAAGUGACCAAAAUAGGCUUAAGUGCACUAUUUUUAUGCACUAUAUACAUUUUCUUUAACGUUAAAUAGUGCACCAUCCAUUUUUUCCAUAUAUAUAUAUAUAGUGCACUAUAUCCUUUUAACCUAACCCCAAAAUACUCAGAUCUUCAUCUUCUCCCCACCAUCGGUCCCCAAAUCCUCUGUUAUCAGUUAUUUUUCAGCUAUAAAUACAUCACAUCUUUUCUUGAAUAGAGUUAUUGAGCUGCCAACAAGUUAACCCAAAACAUGUUAUCCGCAAAAUGAAGCUUAUGUUUCUCAUCCUUAAGUUAUUAUUGCCUCUCUCCAAUGGUGGGGGGCCGCUGGUAGAAGAUGAUAUAGUGCACUUAUUUGUACACUCUAUAUAUUUUUUCAUACAGUGUGGAUAGUGCACUAUUUUUGUACACUAUCCACUUUUUUGUAACUUUACUGUCGUAAGCGUUGUGUUGUUAAAGAAAAUGCAUAUAGUGCAUAAUAAUAGUGCACUAAGCGUAUUUUGGUCACUUUUUAUAUCCAUGGCAUAGUUGUGUGAUUUCUUUAAAGUGGCGGCAUAUUUCGGUUGCCAGCUCACAAAGGACCAGGGUAAACACAACAUGAAUUUAAGAUUCUGAUAUGGCAAUGACUUCCCAAGUCAUUGGCUGACAACUGCUUAAGGUUCUAUGCUGAGAGAUGCUAUAUUUAGGAUUUGGGUCCUAGGAUCACAACAUCUUGAGAUCCACUAACUCAAGUAAUCAGAAUGCAAGGACAUCUUAAAAAGUUGGAUGACAGUAUUUGCAUUUGUGACCCAACAAAUCCUACAACAGACACCAACUUUGCACCACCACCACCACCAACAUACCAAUGUAGCCCCACAAGUGGAGUCUGGGGGAGGGUGGGAUGUAGCAGACUUUGUCAUACCUUUGUGAGCUUGAGAGGCUAUUUCCCCAAUCGCCCCUAGGCUCAAAAGAAAGGUAUCCAGGAAUAGGGUUGCAAGAAAAUAUACAACAAAAUAAAAACAUACAAAACAAAUGCAGUAACAAAUAAUAACACACAUUGAAGAAUAAGUGACUACGCGAUAACUAAACACUACUACUAAAAGUAAACGAAGAGAGGGGGAGACUACCCCUAGCUACCUACUUACCUUCUAGCUUAAUCCAUGACCUCCAUACCUUUCAAUCUAAGGUAAUGUCCUCGUCCUCUGUCAGCUGAAGUUGUAUCAUGUCUUGUCUAAUAACCUCCUCCCAAUUCUUCUUCAGUUUACCUCUACCUCUCCUAACUACUGCUAUAUCUAACCUCCCGCACCUCUUUACUAGUGCAUUCCUACACCUCCUCUUCACAUGCCCAAGCCAUAUUACUGUCGCUUCCCUCAUCUUGUCCACAACUGAUGUCACUCCCAUCUUGUCCCCUAUAACACCAUUCCUAAUCAUAUCUCUCUAGGUAUACCCACACAUCCAUCUGAUUUGAAUUUAUAAGUUAUUUAAAAAGGUUCUUUCAUUUGAUUUCAAUACCUAUAGCACAAAACCUAAUAUAACGUAAUAACAUGAAAUACUAGGGUGCCAAGACAAGUGCACUUGUGAUUCUUGAUUAUGUAAUAAAAUUUCGUUCAUAAGCAUCAAGAAGAGGUACUACAACAACAACAACAACAAACCCAGUGUAUUCCCACCUAGUGGGGUCUGGGGGGUUAAGAUGUACGCAGUCCAUACCUCUACCUCUCUGAAGAAGUAGAAAGGUUGUUUUCGAUAGACCCCCGGCUCAAGACACGAGAUACCACACAAAUACAUAGUAAAGCACAGCACAAUAUUACAUAACAUAAAUACGGCACCCAUAAGUAAUACAAAACAGAGGAAAGCACACAGAUUUAUAAUAAAACAUGGAACACGGACUCCUAACAAGAAAAAACCCCCACCAAGUAAUUCCCUAAACUAGCGACCCAAACUGGCCCUAGUCCUCUGCCCUAAUCCGCGUCCUCCAGACCUUCCUAUCUAGGGUCAUGUCUUCGGUGAGCUGUAACUGUUCCAUGUCCCGCCUAAUCACCUCACCCCAGUACUUCUUCGGUCUACCUCUACCCCGUCUAAAACCAUCCAACGCUAGCCUCUCACACCUACGGACCGGGGCAUCCGUGCCCCUCCUCUUCACGUGUCCGAACCAUCUCAAUCGUGCUUCCCGCAUCUUACACUCCACUGAAGUCACACCAACCUUCUCCCGGAUAGUCUCAUUCCGAACUCUAUCCCCUCGGGUCAGUCCACACAUCCAGCGCAACAUCCGCAUUUCUGCCACCUUCAUUUUUUGGAUGUGGGCGUUCUUAACUGGCCAACACUCCGCUCCAUACAACAUGGCCGGCCGGACUACCGCCCUGUAGAAUUUGCCUUUAAGCUUGGGUGGCACCUUCUUAUCACACAGCACCCCCGACGCGAGUUUCCACUUCAUCCAUCCCGCCCCAAUACGGUGCGAGACAUCCUCUUCAAUCUCACCGUUACUCUGGAUCACGGACCCGAGAUACUUGAAACUAUCCCUCUUACAUACCUCCUGUGAUUCUAGCUUCACUACUACCUCAUUCUCCCGCCUCACGUCAUUAAACUUGCAUUCCACAUACUCUGUCUUGCUUCUGCUCACCCUGAACCCUUUAGACUCAAGGGUUUGCCUCCACACCUCUAAUUUGUCACUCACACCCCGUCGAGUCU